CACCAACUGCUUUAUGUAUUUCAUUUACAUCAACCAAUUUGUGUUUCCAUCAAAAGCAGUUAUACAGAAUUUCUUUUAACUUCUGGUAGCAAGUUCAGAAAAUGAAGCUUACAGCCACCCUGAACUGGAUACAUCUCUUGAGCUGACCAUUUCUGUAAGUGCAGGAAUAUAAUAUUGUUCUUCUAUGGUCUUUUUGCACUCUUUUAGGGUUUGCAAGUCCUUAUCAGGUCUGACAUCACUGUUUGGGUCUACAUUCAUUACAAGCAAAUUUGAUUACUAUGCUGAUUUUAAAACAGCCUAUUUGGCCAGCAUAAUCUUAGUUUUCAAAUUAUAAAAACCUUUUAAUAUACGAAGUUCCCAGUUUUUACCUCCUCUAGCUCCUUGCUCAUUCAAAACUUCUAUUUUAAUUGGUGUAAGUAAUAAUAAUUUGUAUUACUAUUUGUACUCCUUUUACUUUUUUGGAGAUUGGGCUGGAUUCCAGAGAGAACACCAGCAUCACCACCACCACAAACAACAAAAUCUAAAAGUAAAGCCCUUAUUUGCAUGAUAAUUG
This 553-nucleotide long non-coding RNA is filed under the name Homo sapiens (human). RNAcentral describes it as "HSALNT0076194". The record is from RNAcentral. Lineage: Eukaryota; Metazoa; Chordata; Mammalia; Primates; Hominidae.